Nothoprocta perdicaria is the source of this 682-nucleotide long non-coding RNA. RefSeq lists it as uncharacterized. The record is from RefSeq and is a predicted model, not a curated record. Lineage: Eukaryota; Metazoa; Chordata; Aves; Tinamiformes; Tinamidae. The transcript has 3 exons.
ACCCUGGAUCAUUUUUGAUGAUCCUGGAUCAUUUUUCCUGCCCCCAGAAGUGAGAAGAACCUUGCAGGCAUCAUACCAAGCAGAGGCAGAGCUGCACAAACGUGGAAGUGGAAGCUGUGACCGGACACAACUGCAAAACUGAGCGGUGGCUGCUCAACUACAAGCAGGACUGCAGAAGGAAAAGCAAGUCUGGAACCUUCAAAUGCUAGAAGUACCUGUCCCUGCCAUCUCAACUAGAGGAACAGCUCUGACAUCUUCAAACAAGUACUACUGCUGAUGGGAGGAACGGCAGAUAACAGAGUCCCUGCUCCCUUUUCGGCGCUGCUACUCUGGAGGAGCAAGAAAGGAGAAAGAGCAGAAGGCCCCGGCUACUUCUUGCCAGGGAAGGGACACCCAUUGCAUGCACCACCUUUUAGGCUCAAGGUCUCUUCAAGAUCACAAGACAAGAAGUUGCUUUCAAAUAAACAGGGACUCUGUGAUUUACUUUGAAACUGCUCUCCUGCAGCCUGAACACUUGCUGAAUUAUUCACCAUAAAAGAAAGUUUCUUUUAUAAGACUGCCGGUUAAUUAUUCACCUCCAUAAAAUGAGCACCUGGAGCUUUGUUUAAUGUCUCAAGCCCAAGAAUAGCUGUGAUUGCAUUAACAAUAGCCCAAGUGCCAGUUCAAAAAAAGAUGUUUUUCC